CCUACGGGUGGCAGCAGUGAGGAAUAUUGGUCAAUGGACGCAAGUCUGAACCAGCCAUGCCGCGUGCAGGAAGACGGCUCUCUGAUUUGUAAACUGCUUUUGUGCGAGGGUAAACGCAGAUACGCGUAUCUGUCUGAAAGUAUCGUACGAAUAAGGAUCGGCUAACUCCGUUCCAUCAGCCGCGGUACUACGGAGGAUUCAAGCGUUAUCCGGAUUUGUUGGGUUUAAAGGGUGCGUAGGCGGUCGGAUAAGUUAGAGGUGAAGUCCCGAGGCUCAACUUGGGAAUUGCCUCCGAUACUGUUAGGCUAGAGAGUAGUUGCGGUAGGUGGAAUGUAUGGUGUAGCGGUGAAAUGCUUAGAGAUCAUACAGAAUACCGAUUGCGAAGGCAGCUUACCAAGCUACUUCUGACGUUGAGGUACGAAAGCGUGGGGAGCAAACAGGAUUAGAUACCCCUGUAGUC
RNAcentral lists this ribosomal RNA (460 nucleotides) under uncultured bacterium. RNAcentral describes it as "partial 16S ribosomal RNA". It matches the Rfam family "Bacterial small subunit ribosomal RNA", at positions 338 to 795 of the family's 1533-position model. The record is from RNAcentral.